GGGAAAGCCAAACUGAGAAUGACGGGAAGAAGGAGGGUGGAGUCAGGGGACUUGCCAGGAGCCACAGAGGGAGCAGGACAUGCUGGAGGACAGUUAGGAGGGGUGAUGUUUGCUAUCAGUUCUACAAGGCUGUCCGAUGAAGACAAAUGCACUGUCUCAGCUCCCAUCUAUAACCAGGCUCCAGAACUAGUUGAAAGGGUGCAUGGAAAUAAAUGGUGGCCAUUGCACAAAGGUAUGUGGCUUGCAAAGCUGUGAGCCCUGCCCCUUCCUUAAACUCUACUGGAGUUUCCAUGGAGAAGCAGCUGCCAGUUUUACCUGUAUGAGGCCUCAACCCUGUUUGCUGAGCCUUCCUAAUUGUUCCAGAGCUACAGCUGCUGGAUGAAGGCCCAGUCCAUAUAGAGGAAUACUCCCUGAGCCAAG
RNAcentral lists this long non-coding RNA (420 nucleotides) under Cricetulus griseus (Chinese hamster). Its description in RNAcentral is "lncRNA (ENSCGRG00015033172.1)". Lineage: Eukaryota; Metazoa; Chordata; Mammalia; Rodentia; Cricetidae. The record is from RNAcentral.